AUUGAACGCUGGCGGAAUGCUUGACACAUGCAAGUCGUGUGGCAGCGCGGGGGCAACCUUGGCGGCGAGUGGCGAACGGGUGAGUAAUGCAUCGGAACGUACCCUUUUGAGGGGGAUAACCAGCCGAAAGGUUGGCUAAUACCGCAUAAGACCUGAGGGUGAAAGCGGGGGACCCGCAAGGGCCUCGCGCGAAAGGAGCGGCCGAUGCCGGAUUAGCUGGUUGGUGAGGUAAAGGCUCACCAAGGCGACGAUCCGUAGCGGGUAUGAGAGUAUGGCCCGCCACACUGGAACUGAGACACGGUCCAGACUCCUACGGGAGGCAGCAGUGGGGAAUUUUGGACAAUGGGGGCAACCCUGAUCCAGCCAUUCCGCGUGAGUGAAGAAGGCCUUCGGGUUGUAAAGCUCUUUCGGCAGGGAAGAAAUGGGGUAGGUGAACAGCUUGCCUUGAUGACGGUACCUGAAGAAGAAGCACCGGCUAACUACGUGCCAGCCGCCGC
RNAcentral lists this ribosomal RNA (497 nucleotides) under uncultured bacterium. RNAcentral's name for it is "bacterial SSU rRNA". It matches the Rfam family "Bacterial small subunit ribosomal RNA", at positions 29 to 518 of the family's 1533-position model. The record is from RNAcentral.